CGUUGUAUCCCUGUAGCACAAUGGUUAGUACGUUGGACUAAUAAUCCAAAGGUCGUGGGUUCCAAUCCCAACUAGAAUGG
Molecule: non-coding RNA, 80 nt
Organism: Trichonephila clavata
Lineage: Eukaryota; Metazoa; Arthropoda; Arachnida; Araneae; Nephilidae
Source: the annotation of a GenBank genome assembly